CUUCGGAAAUGAGAGAGCGGCGUACGGGUGCGGAACACGUGUGCAACCUGCCUUUAUCUGGGGGAUAGCCUUUCGAAAGGAAGAUUAAUACUCCAUAAUAUAUUGAACGGCAUCGUUUAAUAUUGAAAGCUCCGGCGGAUAGAGAUGGGCACGCGCAAGAUUAGCUAGUUGGUGAGGUAACGGCUCACCAAGGCGAUGAUCUUUAGGGGGCCUGAGAGGGUGAUCCCCCACACUGGUACUGAGACACGGACCAGACUCC
Molecule: ribosomal RNA, 259 nt
Filed under: uncultured bacterium
Lineage: Bacteria
Description: partial 16S ribosomal RNA
Rfam family: Bacterial small subunit ribosomal RNA
Source: RNAcentral